RNAcentral lists this ribosomal RNA (460 nucleotides) under uncultured bacterium. RNAcentral describes it as "partial 16S ribosomal RNA". It matches the Rfam family "Bacterial small subunit ribosomal RNA", at positions 338 to 795 of the family's 1533-position model. The record is from RNAcentral.
CCUACGGGAGGCAGCAGUGAGGAAUCUUGGUCAAUGGACGAGAGUCUGAACCAGCCACGUAGCGUGAAGGAUGACUGCACUAUGGGUUGUAAACUUCUUUUAUAAAGGAAUAAAACGAGGCACGUGUGCCUUUUUGCAUGGACUUUAUUAAUAAGGAUCGGCUAACUCCGUGCCAGCAGCCGCGGUAAUACGGAGGAUCCGAGCGUUAUCCGGAAUUAUUGGGUUUAAAGUGAGCGUAGCUGGGUUGUUAAGUCAGUUGUGAAAGUUUGGGGCUCAACCGUAAGAUUGCAAUUGAUACUGGGAGACUUGAGUACAGUUGGGGGAGGCGGAAUUCGUGGUGUAGCGGUGAAAUGCUUAGAUAUCACGAAGAACCCCGAUUGCGAAGGCAGCUUACUAGACUGUGACUGACAUUGAUGCUCGAAAGUGUGGGUAUCGAACAGGAUUAGAUACCCUGGUAGUC